AUUCGAUGAUACGCGAGGAACCUUACCCGGGCUUGAACUGCAGGAGAACGAUCCAGAGAUGGUGAGGCCCUUCGGGGCUCCUGUGGAGGUGCUGCAUGGUUGUCGUCAGCUCGUGCCGUGAGGUGUCGGCUUAAGUGCCAUAACGAGCGCAACCCCUGCCUAUAGUUGCCAUCGGGUCAUGCCGGGCACUCUGUAGGGACUGCCACCGCAAGGUGUGAGGAAGGUGGGGAUGACGUCAAAUCAGCACGGCCCUUACGUCCGGGGCUACACACGUGUUACAAUGGGGGGUACAGCGAGUCGGUCGUAUGCAAAUGCGAUCCAAUCAUGAAAGCCUCCCUCAGUUCGGAUUGGGGUCUGCAACCCGACCCCAUGAAGCUGGAUUCGCUAGUAAUCGCGCAUCAGCCAUGGCGCGGUGAAUACGUUCCCGGGCCUUGUACACACCGCCCGUCAAGCCAUGAAAGCCGGGGGCGCCUGAAGUCCGUGACCGCGAGGGUCGGCCAAGGGUAAGACAAGUGACUGGGGCU
Molecule: ribosomal RNA, 524 nt
Filed under: uncultured bacterium
Lineage: Bacteria
Description: bacterial SSU rRNA
Rfam family: Bacterial small subunit ribosomal RNA
Source: RNAcentral